Molecule: ribosomal RNA, 500 nt
Filed under: uncultured Desulfobulbus sp.
Lineage: Bacteria; Pseudomonadati; Thermodesulfobacteriota; Desulfobulbia; Desulfobulbales; Desulfobulbaceae
Description: bacterial SSU rRNA
Rfam family: Bacterial small subunit ribosomal RNA
Source: RNAcentral
GCCCGCUCAGAAACUCAAAGGAAUUGACGGGGCCCGCACAAGCGGUGGAGUAUGUGGUUUAACUCGAUGCAACGCGAAGAACCUUACCUGGUCUUGACAUCCCGGAGACCCUUAGGAAACUAGGGGGUGCUUCCAUCUGGAAGAAUCUGGAGACAGGUGCUGCAUGGCUGUCGUCAGCUCGUGUCGUGAGAUGUUGGGUUAAGUCCCGCAACGAGCGCAACCCUUGCCUUUAGUUGCCAGCAGUUCGGCUGGGCACUCUAAAGGGACUGCCGGUGUUAAACCGGAGGAAGGUGGGGAUGACGUCAAGUCCUCAUGGCCUUUAUGACCAGGGCUACACACGUACUACAAUGGCCGAUACAAAGGGCAGCGACACUGCGAGGUGAAGCCAAUCCCGUAAAAUCGGUCUCAGUCCGGAUUGGAGUCUGCAACUCGACUCCAUGAAGUUGGAAUCGCUAGUAAUCGUGGAUCAGCAUGCCACGGUGAAUACGUUCCCGGGCCUU